GAUCAGUGGCUCAGGACGAACGCUGGCGGCGUGCCUAACACAUGCAAGUCGAGCGAGGAGAUUCCUUCGGGAUGAUCCUAGCGGCGGACGGGUGAGUAACACGUGGGCAACCUGCCUCAUAGAGAGGAAUAGCCUUCCGAAAGGGAGAUUAAUACCUCAUAACAUUGCAGUUUCGCAUGAAACAGCAAUUAAAGGAGCAAUCCGCUAUGAGAUGGGCCCGCGGCGCAUUAGCUAGUUGGUGAGGUAACGGCUCACCAAGGCGACGAUGCGUAGCCGACCUGAGAGGGUGAUCGGCCACAUUGGGACUGAGACACGGCCCAGACUCCUACGGGAGGCAGCAGUGGGGAAUAUUGCACAAUGGGGGAAACCCUGAUGCCAGCAACGCCGCGUGAGUGAUGACGGCCUUCGGGUUGUAAAGCUCUGUCUUCAGGGACGAUAAUGACGGUACCUGAGGAGGAAGCCACGGCUAACUACGUGCCAGCCGCGGC
RNAcentral lists this ribosomal RNA (488 nucleotides) under uncultured bacterium. Its description in RNAcentral is "bacterial SSU rRNA". It matches the Rfam family "Bacterial small subunit ribosomal RNA", at positions 15 to 518 of the family's 1533-position model. The record is from RNAcentral.